Molecule: unclassified non-coding RNA, 381 nt
Filed under: uncultured bacterium
Lineage: Bacteria
Description: contains 16S-23S intergenic spacer region
Source: RNAcentral
UCCCCGAUUUCCGGGGCAGUCUCCUUAGAGUUCUCGGCUUUACCCGUUAGCAACUAAGAAUAGGGGUUGCGCUCAUUGCGGGACUUAACCCAACAUCUCACGACACGAGCUGACGACAGCCAUGCAGCACCUCUAUGGCGGUCCCCGAAGGGAAAGCGACCUUUCAGCCGCGGUCCACCACAGUUCAAGCCCAGGUAAGGUUCUUCGCGUUGCAUCGAAUUAAACCACAUGCUCCACCGCUUGUGCGGGCCCCCGUCAAUUCCUUUGAGUUUCAGCCUUGCGGCCGUACUCCCCAGGCGGGGCACUUAAUGCGUUAGCUGCGGCACAGACGACGUGGAAUGCCGCCCACACCUAGUGCCCACCGUUUACAGCGUGGACUAC